AUAGGAAAAAGGCAAACUACUCGAAAGUGUAGGACGCAAAGCCUAGGGACUAAGGUAUAUUCAUACUAUGUUCGCCUGGUUGCCAAG
RNAcentral lists this non-coding RNA (87 nucleotides) under Halalkalibacter okhensis. RNAcentral describes it as "Bacillus okhensis c-di-GMP sequence". It matches the Rfam family "c-di-GMP-I riboswitch aptamer". From Rfam's summary of the family: GEMM was predicted in a large-scale screen for bacterial structured RNA regulatory elements. Genes associated with GEMM are involved in a diverse array of functions, including chemotaxis regulation, signal transduction, secretion and chitin. The record is from Rfam by way of RNAcentral. Lineage: Bacteria; Bacillati; Bacillota; Bacilli; Caryophanales; Bacillaceae.